CAAAAGGCUCUUUUCAGAGCCAUCCACACUUUCAAGAGAGAAGCUG
This is a regulatory RNA element of Loxodonta africana (African savanna elephant), 46 nucleotides long. It matches the Rfam family "Histone 3' UTR stem-loop". Rfam says of the family: The mRNAs of metazoan histone genes lack a poly-A tail. 3' end processing occurs at a site between a highly conserved stem-loop (modelled by this family) and a purine rich region around 20 nts downstream (the histone downstream element, or HDE). Lineage: Eukaryota; Metazoa; Chordata; Mammalia; Proboscidea; Elephantidae. The record is from Rfam.